This 901-nucleotide ribosomal RNA is filed under the name uncultured bacterium. RNAcentral describes it as "bacterial SSU rRNA". It matches the Rfam family "Bacterial small subunit ribosomal RNA", at positions 33 to 925 of the family's 1533-position model. The record is from RNAcentral.
ACGCUGGCGGCAGGCUUAACACAUGCAAGUCGAACGGUAACAGGGAUUAGCUUGCUAAUUUGCUGACGAGUGGCGGACGGGUGAGUAAUGCUUGGGAAUCUGGCUUAUGGAGGGGGAUAACUACGGGAAACUGUAGCUAAUACCGCGUAAAAUCUUCGGAUUAAAGAGUGGGACUUUCGAGCCACCUGCCAUAAGAUGAGCCCAAGUGGGAUUAGGUAGUUGGUUAGGUAAAGGCUGACCAAGCCGACGAUCUCUAGCUGGUCUGAGAGGAUGACCAGCCACACUGGAACUGAGACACGGUCCAGACUCCUACGGGAGGCAGCAGUGGGGAAUAUUGCACAAUGGGGGGAACCCUGAUGCAGCCAUGCCGCGUGAAUGAAGAAGGCCUUCGGGUUGUAAAGUUCUUUCGGUGACGAGGAAGGUUGAUAGGUUAAUAGCCUAUCAAAUUGACGUUAAUCACAGAAGAAGCACCGGCUAACUCCGUGCCAGCAGCCGCGGUAAUACGGGGGGUGCGAGCGUUAAUCGGAAUAACUGGGCGUAAAGGGCACGCAGGCGGUGACUUAAGUGAGAUGUGAAAGCCCCGAGCUUAACUUGGGAAUUGCAUUUCAUACUGGGUCGCUAGAGUACUUUAGGGAGGGGUAGAAUUCCACGUGUAGCGGUGAAAUGCGUAGAGAUGUGGAGGAAUACCGAAGGCGAAGGCAGCCCCUUGGGAAUGUACUGACGCUCAUGUGCGAAAGCGUGGGGAGCAAACAGGAUUAGAUACCCUGGUAGUCCACGCUGUAAACGAUGUCGAUUUGGGGAUUGGGCUUUGAGCUUGGUGCCCGUAGCUAACGUGAUAAAUCGACCGCCUGGGGAGUACGGCCGCAAGGUUAAAACUCAAAUGAAUUGACGGGGGCCCGCA